CGGGUAGACCUCCCACCCUUGAAUACCUUACCUUUGUUGCUUUGGCGGGCCGCCUUGGCCACCGGCCCCGGCUGGUGAGUGCCCGCCAGAGGACCCCAAACUCUGAAAUUUUGUGUCGUCUGAGUACUAUAUAAUAGUUAAAACUUUCAACAACGGAUCUCUUGGUUCUGGCAUCGAUGAAGAACGCAGCGAAAUGCGAUAAGUAAUGUGAAUUGCAGAAUUCAGUGAAUCAUCGAAUCUUUGAACGCACAUUGCGCCCCCUGGUAUUCCGGGGGGCAUGCCUGUUCGAGCGUCAUAAUAACCCUCAAGCCUAGCUUGUUGUUGGGGCCUACCAGCCGGUAGCCCUUAAAAGCAGUGGCGGUGCCGUCUGGCCCUGAGCGUAGUAAUUCUUCUCGCUAUAGGUCCAGGUGGUUGCUAGCCAACAACCCAACUUUUCUUAUGUUUGACCUCGGAUCAGGUAGGGAUACCCGCUGAACUUAAGCAUAUCAAUAAGCGGAGGAA
RNAcentral lists this ribosomal RNA (501 nucleotides) under uncultured fungus. RNAcentral's name for it is "eukaryotic LSU rRNA". The stretch from base 142 to 295 matches the Rfam family "5.8S ribosomal RNA". Lineage: Eukaryota; Fungi. The record is from RNAcentral.